CAGUAGCCACGGGAAUACAGAGGGUGCGAGCGUUAAUCGGAUUUACUGGGCGUAAAGCGUGCGUAGGCGGCUUCUUAAGUCGGAUGUGAAAUCCCUGAGCUUAACUUAGGAAUUGCAUUCGAUACUGGGAAGCUAGAGUAUGGGAGAGGAUGGUAGAAUUCCAGGUGUAGCGGUGAAAUGCGUAGAGAUCUGGAGGAAUACCGAUGGCGAAGGCAGCCAUCUGGCCUAAUACUGACGCUGAGGUACGAAAGCAUGGGGAGCAAACAGGAUUAGAGACCCCUGUAGUCCCUGUCUCUUAUAC
RNAcentral lists this ribosomal RNA (301 nucleotides) under uncultured bacterium. RNAcentral's name for it is "partial 16S ribosomal RNA". It matches the Rfam family "Bacterial small subunit ribosomal RNA", at positions 509 to 807 of the family's 1533-position model. The record is from RNAcentral.